This 497-nucleotide ribosomal RNA is filed under the name uncultured bacterium. Its description in RNAcentral is "partial 16S ribosomal RNA". It matches the Rfam family "Bacterial small subunit ribosomal RNA", at positions 28 to 507 of the family's 1533-position model. The record is from RNAcentral.
GAUGAACGCUGGCGGCGUGCCUAAUACAUGCAAGUCGAGCGAACGGACGAGAAGCUUGCUUCUCUGAUGUUAGCGGCGGACGGGUGAGUAACACGUGGAUAACCUCCCUAUCAGACUGGGAUAACUUCGGGACACCGGAGCUAAUCCCGGAUGAUCUUUUGAACCGCAUGGUUCAAUAGUGAAAGACGGUCUUGCUGUCACUUCUAGAUGGAUCCGCGCUGCAUUAGCUAGUUGGUAAGGUAACGGCUUACCAAGGCAACGAUGCAUAGCCGACCUGAGAGGCGGAUCGGCCACACUGGAACUGAGACACGGUCCAGACUCCUACGGGAGGCAGCAGUAGGGAAUCUUCCGCAAUGGGCGAAAGCCUGACGGAGCAACGGCGCGUGAGUGAUGAAGGUCUUCGGAGCGUAAAACUCUGUUAUGAGGGAAGAACAUAUGUGUAAUUAGCUGUGCACAGCUUGACGGUACCUAAUCAGAAAGCCACGGCUAACUACGUG